UCGCGCAGAGCUAAGUUAUGCUCUUCUUCUCGGAAUUCAGAUCCUAGGGUUUCGUUUCCUUUCCCUCUUCUUUCUCAGAAGUUAAACCCCACCUAAGCCUUCUCAAUCCUCUACAUUUUGCCUCUUCGCUUUCCACAUUUCACCUCCAUUAUCAAUUUCUAUAUUCCAGGAAAAUCUAACUCCUCUGGACCUGCCACAUCAAUCAAUUCAUGGCCAAAACCAAACCAGGCAAAAAAGACCUCGAUUCCUACACUAUCAAAGGCACCAACAAAGUUGUUCGACGUAUGUACUCUCUCUCUCUCUCUCUCGCUCUCUCUAUUGGUGGAAUCUCCAUCAUUCCUUUUUUGCCUUUGGGAACCCAUGAAUUUCUCAUCUUUUUCCCCCUUUUAGAACCCAUAUUCUCAUAUUGUUUCCUUUUUUUGACGUUAAAGAUUUUGAAAACCCAGUAUUAAUGGAAGUUUUCAUACUUUGUUUUUCAUCAUUUUUAAUGUUGGGUCAUUUGUUUUCCCGUUUGGGUCUCUGAAGACCGUGGAAGUUGCUACUUUUUUGCUUAUUCUCAAAAACCCCAAAAUCUCGUUUUUAUGAUAAUUUUUGAACCGCCCAUUUUGCAGAAAUAUUGCCUAACUUUUAUUUUUUGAUCAUUCAAUGUUUUGUUCAUUUUGUUGCAGCUGGUGAUUGUGUGUUGAUGCGCCCAUCGGACUCCGAUAAGCCUCCCUACGUCGCACGAGUUGAGAAAAUUGAGGCCGAUCAUCGCAAUAAUGUCAAAGUCCGUGUCCGGUGGUACUAUCGGCCAGAGGAGUCCAUUGGUGGCCGCCGUCAAUUCCAUGGGGCAAAAGAGCUCUUCUUAUCGGACCACUACGAUGUGCAAAGUGCACACACAAUUGAAGGCAAGUGCAUCGUGCACUCAUUCAAGAACUACACUAAGCUUGAAAAUGUUGGAGCUGAGGACUACUUCUGUAGAUUUGAAUACAAGGCUGCCACUGGUGGGUUCACCCCUGAUCGGGUAGCUGUGUGAGUAUUCUUUUGCAUUUUCUGUUAUUUGGGUUGAAUUGAUUUUGUAGGUUUUUAAGUGUUGAAGUAAUUGGAUUAUUCAACUGAGACCUGGAUUCUUUUUUCUUCCUUGUAAGGUACUGUAAAUGUGAGAUGCCAUACAAUCCAGAUGAUCUAAUGGUGCAGUGCGAGGGUUGCAAAGAUUGGUAAAUUUUUUGCCAACUCUCAAUUUUUAACAAGAAUUAUAUAUAUUAAAUUGCAAAGCUUACAUUUACAUAUUCUGCUGAUCUUUUAAUUUGUAGAAGCCACAUGAAUUUUGAAUUAGUGUGGACAUACUGUCCUUUUGGUCUGUUUAUCAAAUGUUUCACGGUAGUAUUUCCAUUAUUGAUAUACUUAUAACCUUGCGCUCAAUUUAAACCUUUGUUUGGCUGGUUAAACACUUAGUUAACUUAAGUGCACCAAGUGAUGCUGUACCUUGAAUGUUUAGAGGAAGUAUAUCCAUCUUAUAGUAUUUUCAUAUUUCGUUGUUUAUUUGGACUGUCGCCAAAAGCAAUAAUUGGUGCCAAUGUGUCAUUAAGCUUGUGAGUUGCAUGAUGCUGCAAAGCUCUAGCUUAUGUAAGGUUUUUAAUGAAUGAAUCUAGCUUGAACUAAGUGAAGCUUGCUGAAGCACUUGCAUUAAUUGUGUAUGGGUCUGAGUCAGCCUGUAUGUGGGCACGUUUCAUAUCUAACAGUCUUUUACAAUAGACUAAAGAAGUAACACACACACACACACACACACACACACCCACCCACCCACCAUGUACUUCUAGUAAGGUCCCUAAAUGUUAAGCAUCUAGAAAUGACAUUAUAAUAAUUAGGAUGGUUAGCUAUGUUGCUGAAGCACAUGCAUUAAUUGUGUAUGGGUCUGAGUACUGUAUGUGGGCACGUUUCAGAUCUAACAGUCUUUUACAAUAGACUAAAGAAGUAAAACACACACACACACACACACACACACCAUGUACUUGUAGUAAGGUCCCUAAAUGUUAAGCAUCUAGAAAUGACAUUAUAAUAAUUACGAUGGUUAGCUAUGUUGCUGAAGCACUUGCAUUAAUUGUGUAUGGGUCUGAGUCAGCCUGUAUGUGGGCACUUUUCAGAUCUAACAGUCUUUUACAAUAGACUAAAGAAGUAACACACACACACACACACCAUGUACUUGUAGUAAGGUCCCUAAAUGUUAUGCAUCUAGAAAUGACAUUAUAAUAAUUAGGAUGGUUAGCUUUUGGUGAUCGAAUGAUUAAUAAUUGUUGUUAUAUGCCUGAUGAUCGAAAGUAGUAAACACCUGAUAUUGAGUUGUAAGCAGAAAACUUAUGUUAUAUUGCAGGUGCUUACUUAAAAAUGUGUCAUCUUGGUGUUUGGUGUAGUUUCAAAUCACCUUUUAUCAUAGUUUCAACAUCAUAUUAUUAUGAAUUGGAUUCAUGAACUUUCUUACUUGUAGUAUUAAGAAAGGUCGCAUGGAGUUUUGAUGGGUUCUUUGAACUUUUUUGGAUUAAUUGUAACAUUGUGUUUCUUGUCUGUCAAAGCUCAUUAACUGUAGAUUGUUUAAACUUUUAGAUGAAGUACUCAAUUUAUAUUGGAAUUUGGAACUCUUUCACAGCUGAUUGGGUUUAUUUAUUUAUUUUUAUUCUUCUAUCAACUAAAUUUGGAAGGGACGCUUUCCUUUAAUAUCCUUAACCAAGUGGAAUAGACAGAUCCAUUUAGCUGAUCCAUUAGAUUGAGAUUAAUGCUUGAUUUUACCAAGUAGAAACAUUAUGGAAAUAGAUCGAAACCAGAAUUUGAUGGUUGAACACUUAUUUAACCGUGGUGCGCUUUUUUGAAGUUGUGAUAUAUCAUAUACUGCAUAAUCAAAUAUUACAACUUGUCGAAUUGGAUUGUUUUUUUGUGCUUGAGUGAUUAUGCAAUAGCAGUAAGUUCUUGAGUGAUUAUGUAGCAGUAAGAACACUAAAAACUGUGAUUUCCUAACCGCUUUGCUAAUACAUUGCAGGUUUCAUCCUUCUUGUAUGGGUAUGACAAUUGAAGAAGCCAAAAAAUUGGAUCACUUUCUGUGUUUUGACUGUUCCUCUGAUGAUGAUGCCAAAAGGACUUUGAACGCUUUCCCAGUAUCACCAUCUGUUGAGGCCAAGGUGAACAUUGUGUCCCAUCUCCCUAGUACAACUACAGGUGUGGGUGAAUAAGUAGCGCCUAGGUGUCAAAUUAUCAUGAGAACUAGUGAUCAGCUUCGCUGCUUGUGUACUGAUAUUAUUUGUUCUUCCAGUUCUGGUGGUUUUAAUCUUUUACAACUUGGUACUUGGUUUCUCCAGCCAUCCUUUUUCCCUGUCAGUUUUGCAAUCAAGUUAUAUUCUCAUCUCAAAGAUUAUAGGAUGAUGCUCAGCUUGUUGUCUUAGAUGUCAUGCUUUGGUCUUGCACAAUCUUUGCCCACCUUAUCUGUCAUAUAACCUGUUUUCACUGUGCAACCAAAUUUCAGUUUUGUUACCUAUUGGCAUGUAACUAAUGAUAAAAAAUGCCAACUGAUUUUGACGGUAUGGAUGUAUAGGGGCUUCUUAAUAUGAAUGCAGGAAAUUUCUAUAAAGUUUGAUAUGGAAGAAAUAGCUGAGAGCCGCAUUAAUUUGGAGGCAUAUAUACUGUGAUUAUGACAUCGUUAAGUGAUUAAAGUAGUGCAAACAUUGUAGAAGAGUACAAUACUCACUAUGCUGAUACUGCAUAGAGCUCUACUGAUUUGUGUUAAAGUUUAUCCUGGGCUGAUUGUGCCCUUGCUAGUUGCAAAUUUUGGUUCCAUGUACUAAUAUUCUAAGGCCUCUUGGGCCUUUGGGAUUGUUGUUAUUGGUCGUGUUUCGUACAUUCAAAAACACAGAGGAAUAUUGGCCAAAUUAUGUUCAGUUCAUGGGGAACUAAGGAUUACUGACCUGAGCAUUACUAUUUCCAUUGGCGGGCAUGAAAAGGUGUAUCUUAACAUGAUGGUCCAUCAAAUGACAUUUUACUUGUUCAAUUGUAUUGCAACAUACACCUCAGAUGGUACGUAAAUAUUGGCCGAGUUAAUUUGUCUGUUAAUGAACAAAUGCACAUGGGACAGGGGGUUGGCGUUUGAUUUGGGAUUUCUUUUUUAGUUUCUUAACAAGCAUGCCAUCAGCUUCUUAUUGCAAUUAAAUUUAAACUGUGUAGUUAUAUUGUUUCAAGGUAGAGCAGAGGAUUAGCAAGUAGAAUACAUGCUUAAUUAAUUUAGAUCAUCGAAUGUUGGAUUAGAGAGAGAGAGAGAGAGAGGAAACAGCUUAAUGGGUGUGACCUUGUUCAUCCUAGUUGAUGGUUUCCAUUUAUAUUUAGGGAUAAAUUGGAAGGUUGGAAUGGAUGUGUUGGUGGCAGUGAAAAGUACCACCUACUACCUAGGAGGUUGGACUUCAAACAAGUUCUGUUUCUAUUGAGGGCAAUGUCUAUGCAGCAGUGAUUAUUUGAGGUCCUAUACUCUGUUGAGAAAUUGGUUUUUUAUUUGCUUAGCCAAUUUUUUCCCCUUUUUAAUUUUCUCCAUCAACGGUCAGUAUGCUCUUGCUUGAUCAUGGUAAACUAGUAUAGUAAUGCUUUAUACUAUGUAUUGGAGGAAGUUAGUUUUAAAAGAAGGUAAGGUUUUUGGACUUCACUAACUCACACGCAUAUACACACAUGAACGAGAAUGUCAUAUGCACAAUAAUCAGACUGGUACUUUUAUCAUUGCAGACUUUGUUUACAAUUUCAUCGUAUUAGAUUUUACACAUUACUUUUGCUGCUUAUCACAUGAUACUUCUAGAAUUUGGGAUGGGAUCUUGUAGUUUAGUUGUCUAAAAACUCUACAUGUCCAUUUCCUUUAGAUCUUCUCUGUUGUGUGGAAGCGAAAUAUUGUGAAAUAUUCUAUUUCUACUUUAUAGGUUUUGCUUCUUUACAGUUAUUGGUGAUUUGCUUAACAUGGAUUUUCUAUAUAAAGGAUUUUAGUUUUAACAGAAAACAUUUUUUGAUGGUUGCAGAAACUAGUAACUUUCUGGUGUCUGUCUAAGGUGUUCCCAUGUUAUUUUGUCUUUGCUAAGUUGCUUAUUUGCAUAAGUAUUAUCUGUACAAGUAUCUCACAUGGUAACCCUAGCAUACUUUAUUUAUCUAAUAUGAUACUCGUUUGGUAUUUUGACUUUAUAACUUGCUUUAGCUUUCUCUGUUGAAACUAAUCUGUACUUUGCAUCUCUAAGUAAAUCUUUGUGCUUGAGAGUUUCGGAUGGCAUUUGAUUGUUUAGAUAUCCAAAUGAUCAUCUCCUCAAGUUCUGCUUGGAGCUAAAUGUUGUAGUCCUCUUGGUGUUCAUAAUUAGUGAUUAUUUUAUCUGUAUGAUGCAUAUAUCUGACUGAGUCAUGAAAUUAUGUAACACUCAUGAGCAGGUGGCAAAAUUGGAUGCCAAUCUUUGUGGGGAGAUUAUAUUCCCUGUGCUUUGUCUAUUUUGGUCAGAGAGAAAAUAAUGUUAAUUCAUUAACCCUUCGUUUGGUAUGAAUGAUUUUGUAAGAAAAGAAUUCAAAUGAAUUCUUGCAAAAUCAUUCAUGAUUUCAUUUUUUAUACAUGAUAAAAAGUUUUCAAGUUAAAAAAUUUUUAAUUCUUUUAUUUCAAACAAAAAUUUUGCAAGAAAAGAAUUCAAUUGAAUUGAAUUCUUAUAAAAUUCUUAAUUCCAAACAGAGGGUAAAGGAUUUAAGUCAUAUUUAUGAAAGUUAAUUUAUCAGAAGCAUUAGAAGUUCUGAAUAAUUAGCGAAUUUUAUUGCAAAAGAUGGAGGUGUAGCCUGUGUAAGUUUAAAUGGCAUAUUUUGUUUACAAGGAAAAGCUAAUGGAUUUAUGUUAAAUGCUUUGGAAAAGGAUCCUUUUGUUUUUGUGUUGCCUGAAGAAGAAUAUAUGUGUUAAUUCCUACGAAAAGAAAAUUCAUUUCAAUUGAUAUUUUGAUUCUUGAUUGUUUCUAAUAUGGGAUUAUUAGUCUUUUCUGUUUUUUUGUCCCUUUACUCUUUAUGAUGUAUUUUUCUCGUCUUGGUUUUUUAUGCUAGCUGGAGACAAAGCGAAGGAAGAGAUGACAGAUAAUCAUGAUGGGUGAUUGGGAGGUACUUUUUCUUGCACAUUAGCUGCAGUGUGUUCUUGUUGCUUGAUGUUCAAUUAUACAGUGCUGAUAAGAUAUUAUGCUUGCACAAGCAAGAGGCUCUUCUUAUUUAUAAUUUUCUAGUGUUUGUUCGUGCGAAUGGUCUUAGGAGAUGAUCUGUAGUGCCUAAUGAUGUCCUCGUGAGUGCUGUGCCAAAAAUUGAAGUGUCUUUUUUCUUUUCUGCUCCUAAAAUGAUGAUGAAUCAAAUUAAAUGUCUCGUGAACCUUGGGUUUGUUAUGGUAUAUGCUAUAUAUGUGACAAACUCAUUCUGUUCUUCCUUUCUUCUUCCCUUAAUCACAAGGGACGUGGAAAGAGGAGUUGGGUUUUAGCAAGAGAUGUAACAGUCGACUUAAUCCAGGCACUGCUUUGGACUCAAAUCUUCAUGUGGGGUGAUUUGUUGAUGUAGAUGAAGGCAAAUACCACUUAGUCUCAACGUCCAAGGGUGGUUAUGGUUUUCUUGUUCCUUUUUUCAUUUUUUUCUUUUUGUAUAGAUGGCUCUGGACAAAUUUUUGAGCCAGUGUCCCAAUUCUCUAGUUGCCAAGUCUUCUGAAAUUUUGAAUCACCUGUUGAAAGCUAGCUGAUUGAAUGUGGGAUUUCCUCUAUUGAGCAGAGCUGCUGAUAGCCUUGCCGAGGGCAUCAACUGUUCCGUAUGAAUAUAUAUGAAUAAACCAUAUUUGUAGGAGCAGGGGAGCAAUGCCACCAUCUAUUGGUGAGCAUCUUUAUCUAAUUAUGCAUAUUUUUGUUAUCGACAGCCUCUAGUUGAGAAAGAGAGAGAGAGAAAAGUUCACAUUGGAGUUUUGUGUGCAUAAUGCAUGAAUGGGUUUCUUGAAGGAUUUGGAAUCCCACACAUAUGUUCUAAGAUGAUAUUUUAAUCACAUAUAUCAGAGUUGAGUGCUGGGAAAGAAAAUGCAAUUUAUGGUAUCAUACUGGAUCUUACUGGUUUCUGAGGGAAAAGGUAAUAACUCAAAAAUUGCAUGGUUAAGAAGAAAAAACAAAAAGAAAGCAAGGAGGAGCACUGUUUGAAUGCGGAUCGUUAAGCAAAUGUUGGUUGUUGAUCAACAUCCAUUUAUUAUGAAGGAUUUUAAUAAAAAAAAUUUACAUGUUUAAAAAAAGGUUUAACUAAUGAAAACUUAAAAAGAGAUUAUCUGUGUUUGCAAGGUCAUAAAGAGGUCAUAAAAUAUCUGGUCUCAAACAUGUGUAUCUAAUUAAUGGAGAAAUUUACUAUUUAGGAAAAUUUAUUAGUUGAUCUAUUGGGAUUGAAGAAUAUAUUGAGAUUUUAAAAAAUUUAUUAAAUUAGUUAUUUCUUUUAUUUUAGCCAAUAAGUAUAGUAUUAUAUAAUCUCAAUGGUAUGGAAAAAUUAGAGAGCUGAUGUAGCAAUGGAGGUUAAAUUUAGCAAAAGGAGUUAAUGGUGGGAUAAACUAAUCCUAUGGUAACAGUUCAAGCUAAAUCUAUCAAGAAAAAAAAUUUUUCUUUUUUUAUUUAAUAUAUAUUAAAAAACUAAAACCUAUUGGUUUCUUAAAUAAUUUCUUUUUAUUAAGAAAUUUCUAAAGUAUUUUAAAGCAUAAGGUAUUUAAUUUUUUUGAUGAGUAAGAAAAGUCAAUAAAAUUCAUUACUUAAUCUGUGUCAACUUUAUUUUCUUAAAUAAAGUUAUUUAUGGAUUUAUUAUUAUGUUAUUAUUUAAUAUGCCAAUAAAAAAAAUUUAUCCAUUGUAGAAGUAAUUUGAUGUAAUAUAAUAAUAUUAAGAAAAAGGUUAAACAGAAAUUAUUUUAACUAUAUUAAUCAUUGUCUCUUCUUAAAUUAUAUUGAAAAGAGUAAUAACUAUACUAGAACUUACAAGCGAUUGCUAUAGCCUUGAAUUCAACAUGUAACAUGGGGAGACCUUUCUGUUAUUCAAGGUGUAACUAUCAUCUUUAAAAAAAAAAUCGUUUACUUGUCCUCUGUUAUUCAUGAAAAGAAAUUUCUUGCACGUAUCUACAUGUUAAAGUUAUCAGUUUUAGAGGAGGGGCAAUAGUUCGAGUCAGUCAAAAGUAAGCUCAGAAAUAUUAGAGACACUCCAUCAAAGACUUAAAAAAAUGACAAUUUCAAUUGACUUAUUGAAAAAGUCCCUCACACACAGUUUGAGUCAACAGAUCAAAAGGUAUGUUUUGGUUCGAUUUUAAAUAACAUUAUAAAAAAGAGCUUGAUCUUAAACAAUAUUAUAAAAAAGAGCUUGUUAACCUUUUGAGAAGUACGAAGCUUCGACAUAAUCACACACAGCUUAAAUAUAGAUAUUUUAGUUAAGUCGAUUCAGCAAAAAAAAAAGAAGGAAAUUCACUUGUAAAAGAGAGUAGGUAAUAAAAGGUGAAAUUAAUAAACUGUCAAAUGCAUGAUUGAUUAAGAAAAUGCAAUAUUCUACAUGACUCAUUAAUGUGGUGCUAGUGAAAAAACCUUAUAGAAAGUGAAGGAUAUGUGUAGACUUUACGAAUUUAACCAAAGCAUGUCCCAAGAAUCAGUAUCGACUCUAUCUAUUGAAAGGUUAGUUGUGGUUUCUUUUUUUGAUAUUAUUUCAAGUGUGAAACUAUUUAGAAGUAAUAUAGUUUCUAAGAGGGGUAUGAAGAUUAACACAUAAAAAUUAAAGCAAUAUGGGACAUAAAAGUAUCAAAAUGCAUUAAUGAUAUCUAAAAAUUAAACGAGCGGAUGACAACCUUCGGUAGUCAUUUCAUAUUCCGCUAAACGGUGUCAUUUUUUAAGACUUUAAAGAGAAAUAAUAAAUUCAUUUGAGGAGAAACUUUUAAUGGCUUAAAAGGUUUUGUAUCUUCUUCAUUAUUAUUUUAUAAAAUUAACUCCUUAAUUAUUAAUCAUUAAUUAUUUAAAUAUUUAAACUAUUUAAUUUUUAUAAUUUAAAUUAAAUAUAUUAUUUAAUCAUAUAAUUUUAAAUAUGUAUAUUAUGUAUAAUCUCUUUGACAAAAUUUAAAACAAAUUAAUUAAUAUUUCUCAUGACUAAACAAUUUAAUUAUAUAAAAAAUAUAUAAAUAAUUUAAUUAAGUAAUUUUAAAAUAAAAACAAAAUACUCCAUUUCUUAAAAUUUCAGAGACCUAAUAAUAAUUCAUCUAUUUUUUUCUUUAAAAAUGGAAGAUACUCUUUAACAAAACACACUGUCCUUUUGAAAUAGUUUAUAUAUAUAUAUAUAAAUAUAAAGCAUCAUUCAAUUAUAGAAUAUAAUUAUUCUAUGAAAUAUGAAAAUGGUAUUUAUUGGUAAGAAAUACGGUUUAAAAAAUAGUGCCCUAGUUUUCUUUCUCUAGUUUUCUUUCCUUCUCUUUGAGGCAGUGGUCUUGACUUUGCUGGUGAUGCAGCUGCCUUUUUCCAAUUUUUGCCUGGGUCACGUUCCUUUCCUCCCCACAUGGGUGAAAUUUUUUUCCCUUUUUCCUUUUUUUUUUUUUCAGUAGGUAAUGUUUAUCGAUAGAACGGUUUGUUUAUUUUUUCAGUCUGUGAUGUCCCAAGAUAAGUGACUAAAAAGUAGGUAAAUAGUCACUUUACCAAUUUUUCAACUGUUGUUCUAAGAUUCAAUUAAAAAUUAAAACUGCUAUUUCUGAGUAUGAGUGAGUUCUAGUUUAAACAGAUAAUUAAAAUAUUUUCUUGAAAGAUUAAAAAAUAAAUUUAUUAAAUGCAAAUAUGUACUAUAAAGAUUAAAAAAUAAAUUUAUUAAAUGCAAAUAUGUACUAAAUAGAUGUAGAUAACAUAAAGUAAAAAUGAAAUUAACAAGCUAAUUUUUGUAUAUUCUUGUAACAUUAUUUUAAUAUUUAAACACAUAUCUCAAAUAAAUAUUAAAAAGCUGNNNNNNNNNNNNNNNNNNNNNNNNNNNNNNNNNNNNNNNNNNNNNNNNNNNNNNNNNNNNNNNNNNNNNNNNNNNNNNNNNNNNNNNNNNNNNNNNNNNNNNNNNNNNNNNNNNNNNNNNNNNNNNNNNNNNNNNNNNNNNNNNNNNNNNNNNNNNNNNNNNNNNNNNNNNNNNNNNNNNNNNNNNNNNNNNNNNNNNNNNNNNNNNNNNNNNNNNNNNNNNNNNNNNNNNNNNNNNNNNNNNNNNNNNNNNNNNNNNNNNNNNNNNNNNNNNNNNNNNNNNNNNNNNNNNNNNNNNNNNUGCAGAGAGUUCUGGAUAUGCGUCCAUGUACGUUCAACAAUCAUCUCCUGGUUCUUGAGAAGUUGGAAGGUUUCUCCCACCCGUCUAAGGUUCCUCUUACCCAUGUCCCCUUCUGGAUUCAGGUGCAUGGUUUGCCGUCGGGGUUCUUUUUUGAACGUGUAGUGACCCGCAUAGGGAAUGAAUUGGGUGUCUUCAUGGAAUCUGAUCCUUACAACUUCCUGGGUCCUCGGAGGGCUUAUGUUCGGCUUCGAUACAAGCAUGACCUUUCAGCUCCCAUUCACAAAUCCUUGAGAAUGCGCAAGAGUGAUGGAGCAUGGUUCACUGCAACUUUUGCUUAUAAGAGGGCGCCCAGUUUCUGUUUCAUUUGUGGACUGUUUGAUCAUACAGAGAAAUUUUGCAGGGAGCUUCUGAAGUUUGGGAAUGCGCCAGUGGUUCGAAAAUUUGGGCCGAAAUUACGUGUCAAUCAUCGACGCCCUCAGAGUCUUGGCAGCCGAUGGCUUAAGGGAGGAGGAGGGGAGCAAAGCAUCCAAGGUCAGUCGAGUUUUAAUUCUGGUAAUUCCACUGAUAGCGGACUGAAUUCGCCUCCAAAUGCGGGGGUCUAUAAUGAUCAUGAUAUGGAAAGGGGUCAAGAGGAUCUUGAUGUUGGGGAGGAUCAAGCUAUGGGUUUGGGAGUUGGUGUAACCAUUGUUGAUCCUAAACGGCGACGUAUAGGACCUGAUCACAAGAAGGUCAUUGGGGAGAGGUCCUCUGUGGUACACGGUUCAAGCAAUGCAGGUAGUAAUCAGUCAAAAAAUGGAGUAGCGGCGGGUCCUGGGGUUCAGGCCCGCCGAUCACAAUGAGUUGUAUUAGUUGGAACUGUCGUGGGCUUGGCAACCCACGAGCAGUUCAGGCCCUGAAAGAGAUGAUCAGGGUUAAGAGGCCGAACUUUCUUUUCUUGAUUGAAACUUUAUGUGGUUCUGCUAGGGUGAAUGAGAUAAAAGGUUUGUUGGGCUUUGAUGAUUUUUUCAGUGUGGAUAGUUUGGGUCAUAGCGGAGGGUUGACUUUAUUGUGGAGGUCAGUCUCUUCUAUCUCUCUCUUAAGUUCAUCGCAACAUCAUAUUGAUACAGAAAUCUGCAUGGAUGGUGUUGGUUCUUGGCGCUUGACAGGGUAUUAUGGUGAAGCUGAUCGUGGCUCUCGCCACUUGUCUUGGCAGAGACUGCGUAUACUGGCAUCUCAUCUUGAAGCGCCUUGGGUGUGUUUGGGUGACUUCAAUGAUAUUCUUUCUCCAUCUGAGAAGCGAGGUGGUCGACCCCAACCUCCACGCUUGAUCAAUGGGUUUCGAAAGGCUCUUUGUGAUUCUGGUCUUAUAGAAUUUCCUAUGACAGGAUACCCGUUCACGUGGGAGCAUAGCAGAAACAGUGGUAGUUGGGUGGAAUCUAAGUUGGAUCAUGUUCUUACUAAUGCUCAAUGGCGUGCCAGGUUCUCUAAUUCUUUAGCUGAAGUGAUGGGUUUCUCUACAUCUGACCAUCUGCCUAUCCUGCUUGUAGUUAAAUGCUUUGUGGAACAGCGUCAUGCUCACCGGUUUCGUUUUGAGAAUACGUGGCUAUGUGAGACUGGUUGCCGGAAUCUUAUUUUUGAUAUUUGGCAGUCUUCUUCUAACAUGGAUGCUGCGGGUAAGCUUGAGGCUUGUCGUUCUGCUCUCAAAUCUUGGGGUAUAAAUCUUCGUCUUAAGCACAAAGUGGAGAUGGAUGAGUGCCUUGCUAUCAUGUCCCAUUUACGUGGCUCUCGCCUACAGGAACAUAUAACUGAGUUUUUACGAGCUAAAGCCUGCUUCUUUCACCUCCUAAAUCUCCGUGAGAUCUUCUGGAAGCAGCGGGCCAAGCAAUUUUGGCUUAAGGAGGGUGAUGCUAAUACUCGUUUUUUCCACCAGUCUGCCAGUGCUCGAAAAAGGAAAAACACGAUUGUCAAACUGCUAGAUGAUUCAAAUGUAUGGCGGGACAGGAAUUCGGGGUUGGAGGGUGUGAUGACUGAUUACUUUAUGACUCUUUUUACUUCCCACAGUUGUAAUUCUGAACAUGUUUUGCAGUGUGUCCCGACGUUGGUAUCACAAGAUCAUAAUGCUUCUCUCUUAGCGCCAUACAGUUGUGAUGAGGUAAGGUCUGCAGCCUUUUCCAUGAAAAUUGAUAAAUCUCCUGGGCUAGAUGGUUUCAAUCCUGGUUUUUUCCAGCAGUAUUGGAAUAUUAUAGGAGAUGAUGUAUCUAGUUUUUCCAUUGAGUGUCUGCAUUCCUUGUCUAUUCCUCUGAAGUUGAAUGAGACGGCUUUAGUUUUGAUUCCAAAGAAGUUUGUGCCUGAGCAAAUGAGCGACUUGCGUCCUAUAGCCCUCUGCAAUGUGGUCUAUAAGAUCAUCACUAAGAUGAUAGUUAAUCGGCUUAAGUCCCUUCUGCCCACCAUCAUCUCGGAGAGUCAGAGUGCUUUUAUUGCUGGUCGAAGUAUUCAGGAUAAUAUAAUCUUAGCUUUUGAGGCCUUGCAUGGUUUUAAAGUGCAUCAAAGGAAAAAAGAGUUUUCUGGGGCCCUCAAAAUGGAUAUCAGCAAGGCCUAUGAUAGACUUGAGUGGGGUUUCAUUCGGGAUAUGCUUCUUCGGCUGGGUUUUGCGCAACAAUGUGUUGCUUUGCUGUUCUCUUGUAUCUCCACUGUUCGUUAUUGGAUCCUGCAUGAUAGCAAGGAGUUAGGCCCUAUUGUUCCUACAAGGAGAUUGAGGCAAGGAGACCCCUUAUCGCCGUACUUGUUUAUUCUUUGUGCUGAGGGGCUUUCCCGUCUCCUGCAAAAUUGUAUAAGCAGUGGAAGCCUUCAUGGGUAUAGGGUUUCUCGGGGUGGCCCGCAGCUUUCUCACCUUUUUUUCGCAGAUGAUAGCUUGAUCUUCUUCCGAGCAAGUGUUCAGGAGGCUUUGGAACUCAAGCGUAUCCUUCGCAUGUAUGAAAAUGCAUCUGGACAGGUGAGAAACCUUCAGAAAUCAUCUAUCUCCUUUAGUAGGUACACUCCUGUGGCUCUUCGGGACUCUGUAUGCUCAGUACUUCAGGUUGAGGAGAAACCAGAUUUUGGAAAUUAUUUAGGACUUCCUUCUCAUGUUAGGAAUAAUAAGAGGGAAGUGUUCAGUUUUGUUAAGGAUAGAUUGUGGAAAAGGCUGAAUUCUUGGAAGCAUCGGGCACUGUCUCAAGCAGGUAAGGAGGUUCUCUUGAAAACAGUCCUCCAAGCUUUGCCAAACUAUGUGAUGAGCUUAUUUUUACUUCCUCGGACUCUUUGUGAUGAACUGCAACGCAUGAUGACUAGAUAUUGGUGGAGUAAGGGGGCGGAUCAAAAUCGGGGUAUUCAUUGGCUGGGUUGGCACAGAAUGGCAAAGCACAAAUCUGAUGGCGGGCUACGUUUCAAAAUUCUUUAUAAGUUUAACUUGGCCAUGCUUGGGAAGCAGGGCUGGCACAUUAUCAACAGGCCUCAGUCCUUAGUGGCUCGUGUCCUUAAGGCCCGCUAUUUUUCGACACAAUCUUUCUUUGAAGCUCCUUUGGGAAGUAACCCUAGUUUUUUGUGGCGCAGCAUAUGGGAAACUCGGGGUCUGAUUCGAGCUGGGGCUUACUGGAGGAUUGGGAAUGGUCAGUCAGUUUCAAUCUGGGGGCAACCCUGGUUGAGAGAGCUGCCUGAGUCCCUGGUUUCCACAACCCCUCCUUUGAACUGUGCUAGAGUUGUUGUUUCAGAUCUCAUAAUUAACCACAGAUGGAACGAGAGUUUAAUUGCACAGAUGUUCAAUGAAAGAGAUAGAAGUUGUAUUUUGAACAUCCCUCUUAGUCUUUCAUCGUGUUCUGAUACAUGGUACUGGAAAUUCGAGUCCAAAGAUCACUAUUCGGUUAAGAGUGCAUAUAGGUUCCUGGUUGAUGGCUUUCAACAUAGGGAAGGGAGCGAGAUAUGGAAAAGGUUCUAGAAAGCUAAAGUUCCCCCAAAAGUGCUCAAUUUCUGCUGGCGGGCUCUAGUUAAUGUUGUCCCUUGCCUCUCGUUACUUCAGUCCAAGAGAGUCCCAGUUGAUCCUUCAUGCCCGUUGUGUCAUGUAGCCCCUGAGAAUGUCUUGCAUAUUCUGAUUCAGUGCCCUUUUGCCCGCAGCUGCUGGUUAAGCUCGUCGUUGGGUUGGCCUGCGCCUUCUGCAUCUUCUUUAAAUGAGUGGUUUUCUUUAGCCUUCUCUUCUGCUUCUGUGGAAAAUGCCUCCCUUAUGCUAAUGAUCUUAUGGGCUUUGUGGCAAAAUAGGAACAAUGUUGUAUGGAAGGGCCAGGGUCAGACUGCGAGUGGUGUGUUCUUCAUGGCUCUGAAUUUUUUGCAGCAAUGGAAAGCAGCCCGGGUCGUGUCCUCAGUAAGCACCAUUGUCGACCCGGCUCGCCUGAUCUGGUCUCCUCUGCCGCAUGGUUGGAUCAAGGCGAACAUUGACGCCUCUUUAAGAUUGCAACGAGGUUCGGUAGGUUUCGGUUGUGUAAUCCGGAAGGAUGAUGGGAGUUUUGUGGCUGCUAGAGCAGGCUCUUUUUAUAGCCAGAUGGAUGCAAAGUGUGCUGAAGAUAUAGCAUUCCGGGAAGCAUUGAGCUGGAUUAAAGAGUGUGGAUGGGAUCGAGUUCUUUUCGAAUUGGAUGCUCAGGUACUUGUGAUGUCAGUUAAUUGUGUUUUAUUAGAUGAUUUAUCGUCUUUUGACCUUUUAGUUCAAGAUUGUAAACUGCUUCUAUCUAGUUAUGAGGAAACAAAGUGUGUUUUUGUUUAUAGAUCUGCAAAUGAUGUCGCUUAUGUUCUAGCAACAUCGGCUCAUUCUAAGUCAGGUCAAGGAGUUUGGAUUGAUAUCCCUCCUCCUCAUAUUGUUUCUUUGUUCUCUUUGAAUUAAUAAAGUUUUCUUGUUAUUUCAAAAAAAAAAAAAAACAAUUAUAAUAAAAAAAUUGAUUUAAUUUCAGCAAUGAUUUCUAGUGUGAAAAUUAUCUCAUUAUUGUUUAUCUUUAAUAAUACUUACAAAUAUAAAAACUAAAUUUAAAAUAUUAAUAAUAUUACCUUAUUUUACAAUUUAUUUAUUUAUCUAUCAAUAUGCAUUAACCAAUAUAUAAAACGAUCAGGAUGUUAGAAUAAUCCUUUAAAAAAAAUAUUCUGCAAAACGUAAAAUAAAAACUAUAAAUAGUUUUUAAUUUUUUAAAAAUAAACAAAUAAAAAACCAAUAAUAUUAUUAAACACAAUGAUAUUACAUAAGACUCGCUCAAAAUAGACAGUGAGCUGCUACCAUUAGACAGAGCCACAUAGCAAGGAUUUAAUAAACAUAUAUGCAGUUCCACCACCAUAGAAAAGAAGACCCGGGUGCUUCAGGACAAGUCGGACAGACUCGCCCUCUCAACUUUAGGGCAAUGCUCCAUAAGAAAAUUACCGUUAACGGCUAUAAUCUAGGAGAUCCCCUUUACGUCUACGAUCACGGAAUUCCCGACCAAUUAGCUGGAGAAGGUAUCUUACUAAUGAGUUGGUCAAAUCAUCGCCGGAUCAUCAGAGAAUGCCAUAUUUAUCUCCAUUUUCUUAAAAUAUAAAAGGAGAAAGAUUACAAAGGUAAAAGUACGUUGUUCUCUCACACAACUACUCUUGAGUUAUAAACAUUAUACUCGCUUUUCUUCACCCUACUGACUUGAGCAUCAGAGUGGCUACCGUAAACACUCACCACCUCACAUUUUCUUUCUCACAGGUUUAGCCAAUCACAGCACAGUUCCAUUUCGGCUACGUCAUCAAUUUGAUUUUAACAACAUCAUUUGGUUCUGUUGUUAAGAAUUCCAUUGAAUUCUUUCUGUUCAUUUAGAUUAAAACCGAUCUCUUAUCCCUUUUUUCCUAAAAAGAAAUCUUUCUUUUAUCUUUAGAAAUGAUCGACAAUUCACGAGCCGCUGCUAAGGUUGCUAUCGAUGAAAAGGCUAUAAUUUCUUCCACUACCAGCAGUAGACAAAACACAUCUCCUAUAGUCAAUGAAGUAGAUUCCAAUAAUAUGAGCAUUGAGAAAAUACUCCAGUACGUUCGAAGGUUGUAGGUUAUUUUUGAGCAAUGUAAAGCUCAGGAAAAGGCAUCACUCAUGGCUCCUAGGGGAAGGGAGAAAGCUCAAGGAUUCGGACAGGGGCAAUCCAGACGCAUUCCAAAGAGAAGGACAAGUUCGAGGAAGAGGGGCCGUUAGAUGAUGUUCCCAAGGAUGUUGGCUAGAAGUUGGUACGGGUUGCCUAAAGGGGCCAGGAGGGAUGGGAAAAAGACAAAAGGAUGGAUCAGAAGCAAAGUCAAAAACCGAAGAAUCAAGGAUAUGAGGGAGACAAUAAAAGUUACUCAGUCCCCCGAGGAAAGAAUGGCCAAGGUAAGUAUAAAAAAUAUACCUCAUUGAAUGACUCAUGAACACAUAUUCUAAUGUGGAUUAGGAAAAAUGACAAAAAGAUCAGGUGACCUCUCAAACUCAAUCCUAAGAAAGCCAAAAAACGAGACAGGACUAGAUAUUGUCAUUUUCAUAAAGACCACGGACAUGUAACAAAGGAGCGCUGACAAUUGAAAGAUGAGAUCGAAAGGUUAGUAGGGAACGACACACACUUUGAAAGUUCAUCAAAAAUAGUAGAAAAGAUAAGAGGCCCAAACUCGAGGUAACAAUUCCCGAAAUCAUCAUUGACAGUAAACUUGUGAGGUUAUUCAUGUGAUUGCAGGACGACUGAGUGUUAAUGAGGGUGACAAUAAUGGGAAUAUCACAAAUGUCCAGCUCUUGAGUCAAACUCCAAGUUUUGAAAUCGGUCAAGUCAGACGACCGAAUCUUUUAUUAGAAAAAUAUUUAUAAUUUAUGAAAAUGUUAUAAAAAUAGGAUGCAUUCUUCAAAUUUCUUUUUUGAAUCGUUGGAUGGAUGAAAGCGUGGAGACAAGAACAAAGGUCACAAGGCCAUCUGGGCAUGGGUCCUACAUAUAAUUCGGGCAUUGGUCUACGGAAACAAACAUUUAUAAAAGGCCACAAGGCCAUCCGGGUAUGGGUCUCACAUAUAAUCCAGGUAUUGGUCCACAAAAACUAAUAUUCAUAAAAGGCCACAAGGCCAUUCGGACAUGGGUUCCGCAUAACCAGACAUUUCAUAUUAGGCCACAAGGCGGAUAUACACCAGGCCAACCAAGUGUUAGUCCCGUUUCACAAAAAAAUUUUAAGGCAUUUUAUAUCAGGCCACAAGGCGAAUAUAUGCUAGGUCAACCGGGUGUUAGUCCCAUUUUACAAAAAGAUUCUUAAGGCAUUUCAUCCAAGCCACAACACGGAUAUACGCCAGACCAACUAGGAGUUAGUCCUGUUUCAUAAAAAAUUUCUUAAGGCAUUUUAUGUCAUACCACAAAGGUGGAUAUACGCCAGGCUAACCGGGCAUGGGUCCCGCAGUGGACAAACAACGUGAAACACGGCAACUAUUUUCGGCAAUAAGAUCUGGAACCUAUCGAAAGGGUAAGUAAGAAGAAAGCAAGAAUAUCGUGCAUUCAGUCUAGACAAACAAGUCACAUGGCCCAGAUCAUGAAAACAUCUGUCACCUUCGAAUCUCAAGAAUCGAAGACCAGCGGAGAACCUCUGAUGCUACAUAAGACUCGCGCAAAAUAGACAGUAAGCUGUCACCAUAAGACAGAACUACGUGAGAAGGAUCUGAUAAACAUAUACGUAAUCCCACUUGUAGAAAGAAAACCUGAGCGCUUCAAGACAGAUUGACCUCAAGUCGAACAGACUUGGCCUCUCAAUUUCAGUGCAAGACUCCAUAAAAAAGUUACCAUUAACCGCUACAAUAUAAUUUCAGCAACAUUAAACACAAUUAUCAUGCAAAUUAAAUAAGAAUUAAUUAUAAAAAUUCAAAAAAUUAGUUAUAUUGAAAAAAAAGAGAUUAAAGUGUGUAGUAUGUAUAUAAAUAAUAUCAUUAGCUGAAAAAAAAAUUCUCAUUCUUAUAAUUUUAGUCCUUUUUUUAGUUUUCAAAAUUAUCAUCGAUUUUAUUUUUUACACUAUGUCCAUAUUUUUUUUCUAUUUUAUUUUAUUUAUAUUAUAAUAAUAUAUAAAUUAAUUAUUAUAAUUUUAUUUAAUUUAAUACUAUUUUUAAAAAGUCUUUUCAUAAUAUCCGGUAAUAGUUAAUAAAAUUUAAUAUUUUUAAAAUCCAUAUAAUUAUAAAAUUAAUAAAAAAAUGUUCAUCCAUUACGGACAUAGGAGGACAUCCUAAUCGUAAUGGAGAUGCACAAAAUGGACAGUGACGUGUCCUCUAUCAUUGCUUUCCUCACAUCGCAGCAAAACCGACGUCACGCUCUUCCUCCAUUCCUCUCUCGCGAAGAGCUAAGUUAAGCUCUUCUUCUCAGAAUUCAGAUUCUAGGGUUUCGUUUCCUUUCCCUCUUCUUUCUCAGAAGUUAAACCCCGCCAAAACCUUCUCAGUCCUCUACAUUUUGCCUCUUCGCUUUCCACAUUUCACCUCCAUUAUCAAUUUCUAUCUUCCAGGAAAAUCCAACUCCUCUGGACCUGCCACAUCAAUCUAUUCAUGGCCAAAACCAAACCAGGCAAAAAAGACCUCGAUUCCUACACUAUCAAAGGCACCAACAAAGUUGUUCGACGUAUGUAC
Molecule: long non-coding RNA, 18859 nt
Filed under: Manihot esculenta (cassava)
Lineage: Eukaryota; Viridiplantae; Streptophyta; Magnoliopsida; Malpighiales; Euphorbiaceae
Description: long non-coding RNA (MESC_LNC007042)
Source: RNAcentral